Chaetoceros tenuissimus is the source of this 73-nucleotide non-coding RNA. The record is from the annotation of a GenBank genome assembly. NCBI's taxonomy places the organism in Eukaryota, Bacillariophyta, Thalassiosirophyceae, Chaetocerotales, Chaetocerotaceae.
GGACGGUUAGCUCAGUUGGUAGAGCAUUGGAUUCCAGACCCAAAGGUCGUCAGUUCGAGUCUGGCACUGUUCA